Transfer RNA from Camelus ferus (Wild Bactrian camel), 72 nucleotides. It matches the Rfam family "tRNA". From Rfam's summary of the family: Transfer RNA (tRNA) molecules are approximately 80 nucleotides in length. NCBI's taxonomy places the organism in Eukaryota, Metazoa, Chordata, Mammalia, Artiodactyla, Camelidae. The record is from Rfam.
GAAGAUAUAGCUCAGUGGUAGAGUGCAUGCUUAACAUGCACCAGGUCCUGAGUUCAAUCCCCAGUAUUUCCA